GAGGAUAAGAACCUCCGGGGGCGGGAGGUUCGACCCGAGCGAAGCGAGAGAACGUUGCGCGAGCAACGGCCCGCAGGGCGAGCCAUCCUC
Molecule: small RNA, 90 nt
Filed under: Salmonella enterica
Lineage: Bacteria; Pseudomonadati; Pseudomonadota; Gammaproteobacteria; Enterobacterales; Enterobacteriaceae
Description: RtT sRNA
Rfam family: RtT RNA
About the family: This family represents a bacterial cis-regulatory element known as RtT RNA.
Source: RNAcentral